RNAcentral lists this long non-coding RNA (221 nucleotides) under Mytilus galloprovincialis (Mediterranean mussel). The record is from RNAcentral. Lineage: Eukaryota; Metazoa; Mollusca; Bivalvia; Mytilida; Mytilidae.
GUUCGUAUUGCCAAGUCUUUAUAUAUAGUUUUCUAUGCUGUGUUUUGUGUACUGUUGUUUGUCUUUUCGUCGUUUUUUCGUUUUUGUUUUUGUUUUUGCCAAGGCAUUGUAAGCUUGUUUACGACUUAUGAGUUUGAAUAUCCCUUUGCUGUCUUUAGCUUCUCUAUUACUGCCUAAUAACAUAUCGACAAUGACUGUAUACAUGGACAUUAUAAAGUUCC